AAACACAGCCACAUAGAAGAUAUUUGUCUUUAUUCAUGUUGCUGCAGCCAAGUUGUAAUUAUUCUCUGAUUUUAUGGUCAAACUAUGAGAUUUUCCAAAUGUGUGUGGAGUGACAUGACCUUUCUCUGAUGAUCUAAAUGUCGUGACCAAGAAUCAUUCAGGAUGAACAACGUGAACAGUCUGCCUCAUAGUUCUCACAGGUGAGCGUCAGAAUUACAGACACAUUCUCAUGUCUGUGGUCUCUGGCUAACUUUUCAUGCUCUCCAUAAAUGCAGGAAUCUGCAGGUUUUAUUAAAACUGUCACAUCUCAACACUCAGUGCCAAAAACAGGGCUGAUCCCUGUUUCAUUUGAUAACUGCUUCAUGUUAACAAAUCCCGUUUUUUAAACCGUGAUGUAGAACAUGAUCUCUCUCACUCUCUCGUUCUCUAAAUAAAACCCAGCAAACUGGCAAUCACUUCUGAAAGAUGGGAGUAGUUCACUCUUUAUCAGCUGCAAGACCUUUAACCCUUGCUGCAAUGUGUCCCUCUGAGGGCCUAGUGCAGUAGUAGUAGUAAUAGUAGUAGUAUUGUGCGACACACAUGCACACAGGCUUAAAGAGACGUCACUCUUAUGGCUUGAAAAUUGUGAAAAUUUUUCAGAUACUCACAUCACAGUCCUGCUGCGAAUUAGAAACACUGAAAGGUCAAAGGUCAUUAUUAAAAGAGUUUACACUUGAGUUUCAGCCUAGACACAGACUUGAAAGUGAAUCAGAGAUAUAUUUGGGGGAAAAAAACAGAAAAAUAAAUAAUUAGAAAGAAUAGUGCACAAAUAGAAAAGCCCAAAAACCAAACCUGUACAAGAGUGAUUACUACUAAUCUACAAAUGGCUGCAAUAUGCAGAAAAUACACUUAGACAAUUUUGCAUUGAUGCAAUACUUAAAUUAAGGCCGUCUGCACUUCAGUUAACUCUCUUUUUUCUAAAAAAAAAAAAAAAGAAAAUGUAAUUGUGGGGACAUGGAGGGAAAAAAUGAUAUUAAUGUGUUGUUGUGGUCCUGGGUCUUGGACCCCAAGACUUUUAAGUUCUGUCAAAUAUUUUCAGCUUAACUUUUGGGUUGUUUAGUUGUUUGUGGUGUUUUGAGUCUUGAUUUCUUAGAUGCUAAUCCUCCUUUGGGUUGUCCAUGUUUAUGUUUUCAGGUUUUCUUAGUUCUAGUUUCAUCACUUUUACUUCCCUUUACCUUUUUAUCAUUCAAUUAGUUUCACUUGUUCCUUAUUGUACUCCAGCUGUGUUCUUUCCCCCCCAGUAGCCUCCAGUAUAUUUAAAGCCUCCAUUUGCAUGCGUUCACUGUUGUGUUGCACUGCUUGUUUCCUGCAUGCCUGUGAGCUUUUCCCCAUUUGAUGCCACUUGGUGGAUGAUUUUUUUUCUCUGUUAUGUGACUCUGCAUUUUGGGUUUCCACUUUCCACCAAACACAGGAUAUAAAGGCCUAUCCACAAAUUUGAUCAAAUCUAUAUAAUAAAUCAUGUUGGCACACAGUAUUUAGAUUUCACAUGAAUUAUUAGAAACCUGUAUUAUAAGUAAAGAUGGGUGGGUUCAAAUAGUCCCACCAACAUAAAUUGAAUUGAAUUGAAAGCCUUUAUUGUCACUAUACAUAGUGCAACGAGAUUAGAAACAGCUCUAUAAAAG
Astatotilapia calliptera (eastern happy) is the source of this 1661-nucleotide long non-coding RNA. The record is from Ensembl. NCBI's taxonomy places the organism in Eukaryota, Metazoa, Chordata, Actinopteri, Cichliformes, Cichlidae.